RNAcentral lists this ribosomal RNA (473 nucleotides) under uncultured organism. Its description in RNAcentral is "partial 16S ribosomal RNA". It matches the Rfam family "Bacterial small subunit ribosomal RNA", at positions 335 to 799 of the family's 1533-position model. The record is from RNAcentral.
ACUCCUACGGGAGGCAGCAGUGGGGAAUUUUGGACAAUGGGCGAAAGCCUGAUCCAGCAAUGCCGCGUGUGUGAAGAAGGCCUUCGGGUUGUAAAGCACUUUUGUCCGGAAAGAAAUCCUUGGCUCUAAUACAGUCGGGGGAUGACGGUACCGGAAGAAUAAGCACCGGCUAACUACGUGCCAGCAGCCGCGGUAAUACGUAGGGUGCGAGCGUUAAUCGGAAUUACUGGGCGUAAAGCGUGCGCAGGCGGUUUGCUAAGACCGAUGUGAAAUCCCCGGGCUCAACCUGGGAACUGCAUUGGUGACUGGCAGGCUAGAGUAUGGCAGAGGGGGGUAGAAUUCCACGUGUAGCAGUGAAAUGCGUAGAGAUGUGGAGGAAUACCGAUGGCGAAGGCAGCCCCCUGGGCCAAUACUGACGCUCAUGCACGAAAGCGUGGGGAGCAAACAGGAUUAGAUACCCGAGUAGUCCCAUG